GCCUGUAUGGCUCAGUGGUUGAGCACUGACUUAUGAACCAGGAGGUCAAGGUUCGAUUCCUGGUCAGGGCA
This is a non-coding RNA of Myotis davidii, 71 nucleotides long. The record is from Rfam. Lineage: Eukaryota; Metazoa; Chordata; Mammalia; Chiroptera; Vespertilionidae.